AAUAGAAUAACAUUUGCAUACAUUUUGGACAACUUUUGUCAAGGAAAAAAACCAUCUUUGUCCACUAUGGGCUAAUGUGAAAUUGAGAUAUAAUCACAAAAUUAUAUAAAUGGAAAGUCAUGAUAAGUGAUCUUUGCAAUCUGAAUAAUAGAUUAUGUUGCAAAUUUGAAACACAAUUUCAGUCCUAUAGACUCCCACAACUAUUUUCUCCAAGGUCUUAAAAAGACGACAAUAAAGAAAUAUACGAUUUAAAUGGAUAAAAACUAGCUUGAAUUUGAUGUACAAAGAUACUUGAUAUAGACUCAAAUCAGAUUCUUUGAUCUGAUGCAAAGAAGAGAUAUAUGUGCAUGUGUCAACUGGUGUUAGCACAUAAAACUAGACAAAAU
RNAcentral lists this unclassified non-coding RNA (386 nucleotides) under Hevea brasiliensis (rubber tree). Lineage: Eukaryota; Viridiplantae; Streptophyta; Magnoliopsida; Malpighiales; Euphorbiaceae. The record is from RNAcentral.